This 6076-nucleotide long non-coding RNA is filed under the name Populus tremula. Its description in RNAcentral is "long non-coding RNA (PTRE_LNC002667)". The record is from RNAcentral. Lineage: Eukaryota; Viridiplantae; Streptophyta; Magnoliopsida; Malpighiales; Salicaceae.
CACCCUUGCUCACGAGGCUUUAAUACAUGGCGGCGCAGUUUUUGCGGACCGCCCACCGGCUGUUCCUACGAGAAAAAUUUUAACUAGUAAUCAGCAUAAUAUUAGUUCUUCCUUUUACGGUCCAACAUGGCGACUUCUGCGGCGUAACCUCACGGCGGAAAUCCUCCACCUAUCGCGUGUGAAAUCUUACAGUCAUGCACGCAACUGGGUUCUGAAAAUCCUCCAGAAUCGCUUCGAAUCUCAAUCGAAAGCCGGUCGUCCUGUUUGUGUAAUGGAACAUUUUCAAUAUGCCAUGUUUUGUCUACUCGUCCUGAUGUGUUUUGGAGACAAGCUUGAUGAAAAUCAGAUAAAAAAAAUCAUGGAAGUUCAGCGACAAAUGAUAGUGAAUUUUAGUAAGUUCAACAUACUCAAUUUCUGGCCAGGAGUGACAAAGAUCGUGUUGCGCAACCGUUGGAGGGAGUUGUUAUCCCAUCGAAAAUGCCAAGAAGAUGUCUUGAUUCCAUUGAUAAGAGCAAGAAAGAAGGCCAAGGAAGAGAGGGUAAAAAAAAGUGAAGAGGACAAGAAAGACUAUGAAGAUGAGUAUGUUUUGUGCUAUGUUGACACCAUACUGGCUUUGGAGCUCCCGGAAGAGAAAAGAAAGCUCACCGAAGGGGAAAUGGUCAGUCUGUGCUCUGAGUUUCUCAACGCAGGAACAGAUACUACUUCGACAGCGUUGCAGUGGAUCAUGGCAAAUCUAGUUAAGCACCCGCAAAUCCAAGAGAAGCUAUUGAUGGAGAUUAAAGGGGUUGUGCAAGAUGGUGAAGAGAAUAUAAAAGAAGAGGACUUGCAAAAGAUGCCAUAUCUAAAAGCAACAAUUCUAGAAGGGUUGAGGCGGCACCCGCCAGCCCAUUUCGUACUGCCACAUGCGGUGACUGAAGAUGUAGUGCUGGGUAAAUAUGUGGUACCAAAAGAUGGAACUAUAAAUUUUAUGGUGGCUGAGAUGGGGUGGAAUCCGGAGGUGUGGGAGGAUCCUAUGGCGUUCAAGCCUGAAAGGUUUCUAAAUAGCGGAGGGGAAACAUUUGAUAUAACAGGAAGUAGAGAGAUAACGAUGAUGCCAUUUGGGGCUGGGAGGAGAAUUUGUCCUGCUUAUGGUCUAGCAAUACUCCAUCUGGAGUACUUUGUAGCUAAUUUGAUUUGGAGAUUUGAGUGGAAAGCUGUGGAUGGAGAUGAUGUUGAUUUGACGGAGAAAGAAGAAUUCACAGUAGUGAUGAAAAAUCCAUUACAGGCUCAAAUAUGCCCACGGUUGAAAUAAAUGAUUAGGUUUAUUAUUAUUAUUAUUAUUAUUAUUAUUAUUAAAAGAUAAGGUUGAUUUUGUUUAGUUGGACGAUAGCUCUUCAUGUAAGAUGUAACUCUACUGGUUUAUCAAGUCCGAUGCUCCUAUGUUUGUGUGAUAUUUCUCCUCUUGUUUAAAUCUGAUUCCAUUAUAUCAAUAUUCUAUAGGAUGCUAAUUUCCACCAUAAUUAUUUCUGUUUAUGUUAUUCUUUGCUUGUAAAUGUUUAUUCGUUUUUCCUCAGGGUUGCAGAAGCUAGGAAAUUAAUGGAUCCCUAGUUUCUGGCAAACUUGAAGCAGUAUUCUUCCUUUAAAAGUAGAAUUAGUGGCUGCUUUUCGAGGCUUGUCUGGAUGACUCGUCCAUGUAUAGAUAGCGCUUUGAAAUGUCAAUGAUGCAAGUCUUCAAAUUACAAAGACAUUAAGCUGUGAAUGACAAGACGGUGGGCCCACGGAUGCCACGGGACCAACAGCUGUGGCUGUCUGUGGUAAAUUCCUAAUGCACUAUCAAAUAAUAUAUAUAAUAUAGAUGGAAUGCGAAAAGUUAGGGGUAUGAUUUAACUGGUUAUAUUUUAGAUUUAUUUUUUAAAAAUUAUUAAUUUAAAUUUAUAAAUUUAUAAUAUUAAAAAUUUAUAUAUUAUUAAUUUUAGAAUUUAUAAGAUUAAUUAAAUAUAUAUAAAUUUAUUUGUACAUCCAUAUAAUAAUAAUAAAUAAAAAGAUAGAUGAAAUGUGUACCUAACAUUUUAAAGGGCAAAAGAAAAUGAAUGGAAUGGAGACUCCUGAGUUGAGGAGAAAGUGAAAGGAAACAUUCUUUAAUGGAAAUUCACUCUCAAUUUUUCUGUGAUCUGUAAAGCCCAGCUAAGAGAGAAAAUAAAUAUCUCUAUAAAACAAUUGAACAGAAAAAACUAUUAUGCAUCAAGCAAAAUAUCUCCUUUUUAAUAAUAAAUGGCAUUUUUUUCGAGAGAAAAUAAUAUUUUUCCAAAUAUAGAUUAAUAUUAUAUUUAUUAGUUUUAUAUGAAUAAGUUAAAUAAAUAGCUGGAAAUUAAUUUAUACUGGUUACUAAACAUUUUAUUUUUAAUAAAUAGUUAUUUCAUCUUUGGAUAGCAUGUAAGCUAAAAUUCAAUAUAUAUGACUAGAUAAUGUUGUUGAAAACAUUAGAUAUUUUAUGAUGUGGUCCCUAUUUACAGUACCUAAUAUACCCUCUCAUGUUCCUUGUCCUCUCUUUAUCUCACCACAUUCUAAAGCCUUCUAUCUCUUUCUCAUUUUUUUUAUUCUUCAAUCUUUUUCUUUUUUCUCUUAGUUAUCUGGGUAAGGGGUUAGAAAAUAUCUUUUAAUAUUUGUUAACAAAAUGUUAGGUAUAAUAUCUUUUUUGAUGUCUCAUAUGUAAAUAACUUUACAUUUAGGUGUUUGUAUAUAUUAUAAUUGAACAAAGGUCAAGUUUAACCGUUAAACUUGGUAUGUGCAAUGUACUACAAGUAUUUAAUAAUAUUCUUUCUACAUCGUAUAUGUCUAGACUUACAUUGAUUGAAUAUUACAACUUAUACAAAUUGCAAGCAUUGAUCUUGAGAUCUCCAGUCUUAGAGCAACUUCAAUGUUCAUUUUCUAAAAAAUAUGUUAAAAAUCAGUAUCAAACAUUUUUUUUUUUCCUUUUACUCAUUCUUGGCUCAACUUAAUCAUCUUUCAAUUUAUGAUGACUAACUUGAGCUAGUUUCAAUUUAUUUUAUCCCCCCUUGCUCCUAAAAAUUCUUGAAAAUCAUUUUAGUCCUUACAUUUUAGAUAUCUUUUUUAUAUAUAUUGUAGGGAGAUCUUGGCAAGCUAAUUAGAAUUGAUAGAGAUAAAACUAGAAAAAGAAGUUACCACCUAACUCUAUAUAACUAGAAAAGAAAACCCUAACUAGUUUUUAAAAGUUCUAGAUAAGAGACUGAUUAUAUAAUAGGAAAAUAUAAUAAUUACCAUAAAAUAUUUUUUUCUAAAGUAAGCUGCUUUGCAUUUGUUUUUAAUAAAAAAAAAAUGCAUCUAUUAUGGUUAUAAUUUAUCUAAACUAUGUGUGUGUUUAUGGUAGAAGACUACUAAAACCUAAUAUAAUGACUUAAGACAUGAACCUAGCAAUAAGACUUAACCUUAAUUAUUGAAAUACAAGCAUUGGAUCUAAAAGAUAGUAAUGAUAAUUAUGCUUUGGUCUAUUUUAUUUAAUGAUAUUAAAAAAAAAACUUGAAGGCCGCCAAACACACACGUACUUACUCUGAUCAUGUUGUUCCAGCCCAAAUUCACUCAUAAAAAAGAGUUUUAUGACCUAAUCUAGUAAAACAACUAAACAAACAUCCACACAAAUUAAACAUUAAGAUUUAAUAAACAAUAAAUAUAGCCAUAUAAAUUAUACUUCGAAACCAAAGUCCAAAAUAAUAUAUACGAAACUUCUAUUACACAUUUCAACCCACAUAUGCAUAUUCACACACACACAAAAUAAUAAUAAAAAAAAAUUAACAAUUUUGUCUUUGAAUCUAAAAUGAAAUUUUCGCAAAAAAAUGGAUUGCCUCUCAUCUUUAUGCGACGCAAAUCCCAUCACAGUAUCUAGUUAUGGAAAUUCCAUGGCCAAUUAGGUCCUAUCCCAGAAGCUACAAGGAAUAUUCAAGACCUACUCUGCUGGGCAAUUUGAAGAUUUCUUGGCACUCGGUCUCGUGACAAAAACAACAUUUUAAUCAAGAGUUGCACCUCAAAUUCAUCAACGUCAAAAUCCAAAGUAAUUUAUCUCUCUGUCGUGGCUUGUGCUGCAAAUUGAAAUGCGUUGCUCUGUUCUUGACUGCCAAGAAAACUGCUUGUCGUGAACGUCACGCUCCUGUUACAAUCUAUUAGUCAAUUCAUCUUGACAAAAAAAAACUCCAUAUUGUUGACUUUUGAGACUUUAUAAUUUUCUAUCUUGAACAAAUUAAUGGUCUCUUUCUCCGAUGACAAGAUAUUCAAACAAAAAUAAUAACUAACAAAGACAGAGUAAAGUAAUCUAGAUUGAAACAAGUAAAAUGGAAUUAAUCUUAAGACACCUUUUUUUUAUAUAAUGAAACAAUCAGCUUUGAAAUCUGAAACUCUUAAUUUAAAAUAAAAUUUUAAUUUAUUUUUUACUCAAAACACCUAGAAAAUAUCCUUAGAUAUUGUUAAAUCAAUUUAUAGCCUCUAAAAACACAAAAAACCAUCCAAAAACCCAUAAUCAACCAGAAACAAAAAAUCUCCUUAAGCUAGUAUAUGUUUUUUAGACGCUUUCAUAUAUAUAUAUAUAUAUAUAUAUAUAAAACAUUAAUUUUUAAUUUUUAUUAUUAUAUGAACUAUUUAACACAAAAUUUAUUAUUUUAAUAGUCGUAAUCAUUUCUAAUAAAAACCCUUUUUACAUUGGAAUUCAACAAUCCCCUCUCUUCACCACUAAAAAUAGAUUGAAAAAAAAAAUUGAUAUCAAAAUUGAAUUUUUAAAUAUUAGAAGGACCGGUUACCGAAAAGCUAAAAAAUUAGAGGACUAAAAUGAAUUUUUAAAAAAAUUCAAAGCCACCCCUUAUUUUACUUUUAUUUUCACUUAAGUUUUUUAUCUUUUAGUUUAACCCUUCCUCUCAAAAAAAAAUAUAAUUGAAUACUAAUUUGGGUUCAAAGUGACUUAAUUUUACAAGAUAUAAAUUCAAGGAUGAAAUUAAGAGCUUUUUAAAAAUUCACUAUUAAAUUCCACAUUGAUAUACGAGAGUAUAAACAAUAAAAUAACUACGGUAAAACCAAUAUCUCUUUUAUAUAAUAAUAAUAUAACUCGAUAACUCUCUGCCACGAUUGAGGACGUCAUACAAUACGUUGUAUAAAAACAAACAAGUAGCGAUGAAUUCCACCCAUUUUGAGUCUUUGCUUUUGUCAAAAAAGAAUAAAAUAAAAUAGACGAUGUACCCUUCUAUCUACAAGAAAAAAACAAAAAAAAAGCAUCCACAAUUAGUCAGUCAAUUUGCUAGCCUAUGUAUAUACACGCGCCCUCUGAGUCCAUUCCACUGCUAAACUCAUCACUUCAUUAUUUUCAGUAUGGAAAGCUGGUUCCUUAUCCUUGUCUCCAUUUCCAUCUCUCUCUUCUUGAAAAUUAUCUUCAACAAUUCUUAACCACUAAAAACCUACCUCCAGGUCCCCUAUCCUUUCCUUUCAUCGGCCACUUACUAUGGCUCCGUAUGUCCGCCUUCAAGAUGAGCCAAUCCUUCGAUCCCUCCAUGCCAAGUUUGGCCCCAUGGUUACCCUCCGUAUUGGCACUCGCCCUGCUAUCUUCGUUGCAGAUCGCACCCUUGCUCACGAGGCUUUAAUACGUGGCGGCGCAGUUUUUGCGGACCGCCCGGCUGCUGCUACGAGAAAAUUUUUAAGUAGUACAUAAUAUUAGUUCUUCCUUUUACGGUCCAACAUGGCGACUUCUGCGGCGUAACCUCACGGCGGAAAUCCUCCACCUAUCGCGUGUGAAAUCUUACAGUCAUGCACGCAACUGGGUUCUGCAAAUCCUCCAGAAUCGCUUCGAAUCUCAAGCGAAAGCCGGUCGUCCUAUUUGUGUAAUGGAACAUUUUCAAUAUGCCAUGUUUUGUCUACUCGUCCUGAUGUGUUUUGGAGACAAGCUUGAUGAAAAUCAGAUAAAAAAAAUUAUGGAAGUUCAGCGACAAAUGAUAGUGAAUUUUAGUAAGUUCAACAUACUCAAUUUCUGGCCAGGAGUGACAAAGAUCGUGUUGCGCAACCGUUGGAGGGAGUUGUUUUCCCAUCGAAAAUGCCAAGAAGAUGU